RNAcentral lists this ribosomal RNA (117 nucleotides) under uncultured archaeon. Its description in RNAcentral is "partial 16S ribosomal RNA". It matches the Rfam family "Archaeal small subunit ribosomal RNA", at positions 1360 to 1478 of the family's 1478-position model. The record is from RNAcentral.
CACCGAGUGAGGUCUUGAUGAGGCUGCGGUAGUCGCCGUGGUCGAAUCUGGGUUUCGCAAGGGGGGUUAAGUCGUAACAAGGUAGCCGUAGGGGAAUCUGCGGCUGGAUCACCUCCU